This 112-nucleotide ribosomal RNA is filed under the name Planococcus massiliensis. Lineage: Bacteria; Bacillati; Bacillota; Bacilli; Caryophanales; Caryophanaceae. The record is from RNAcentral.
CUUAACCAACUUUGUUUACGGAAACCGUUCCCAUCCCGAACACGGAAGUUAAGCUCUUUUGCGCCGAUGGUAGUUGGGGGUUUCCCCCUGUGAGAGUAGGACGUCGCUGGGC